This is a non-coding RNA of Podarcis lilfordi (Lilford's wall lizard), 75 nucleotides long. NCBI's taxonomy places the organism in Eukaryota, Metazoa, Chordata, Lepidosauria, Squamata, Lacertidae. The record is from the annotation of a GenBank genome assembly.
GCCUAAGAUAGUUCAAGUUAGUAGAGCAUGAGAUUCUUAAUCUCAGGGUUUUUGGUUAGAGGCCCACCUCGGGCA